Molecule: ribosomal RNA, 189 nt
Filed under: Trypanosoma noyesi
Lineage: Eukaryota; Euglenozoa; Kinetoplastea; Trypanosomatida; Trypanosomatidae
Description: partial small subunit ribosomal RNA
Source: RNAcentral
GCNGGCNSCSAAAUNGCCCAAUGUCAAAAAAAAACGAUGAGGCAGCGAAAAGAAAUAGAGCCNANCGUGCCUUUUGUAUUGUCGUUUUCAAUGGGGGAUAUUUAAACCCAUCCAAAAUCGAGUAACAAUUGGAGGACAAGUCUGGUGCCAGCACCCGCGGUAAUUCCAGCUCCAAAARCGUAUAUUAAU